UGGAAAGCUUUUGCGGUGUGGGAUGGGCCCGCGGCCUAUCAGCUUGUUGGUGGGGUAAUGGCCUACCAAGGCGACGACGGGUAGCCGGCCUGAGAGGGUGACCGGCCACACUGGGACUGAGAUACGGCCCAGACUCCUACGGGAGGCAGCAGUGGGGAAUAUUGCACAAUGGGCGCAAGCCUGAUGCAGCGACGCCGCGUGAGGGAUGACGGCCUUCGGGUUGUAAACCUCUUUCAAUAGGGACGAAGCGCAAGUGACGGUACCUAUAGAAGAAGGACCGGCCAACUACGUGCCAGCAGCCGCGGUAAUACGUAGGGUCCGAGCGUUGUCCGGAAUUACUGGGCGUAAAGAGCUCGUAGGUGGUUUGUCGCGUUGUUCGUGAAAACUCACAGCUUAACUGUGGGCGUGCGGGCGAUACGGGCAGACUAGAGUACUGCAGGGGAGACUGGAAUUCCUGGUGUAGCGGUGGAAUGCGCAGAUAUCAGGAGGAACACCGGUGGCGAAGGCGGGUCUCUGGGCAGUAACUGACGCUGAGGAGCGAAAGCGUGGGGAGCGAACAGGAUUAGAUACCCUGGUAGUCCACGCCGUAAACGGUGGGUACUAGGUGUGGGUUUCCUUCCUUGGGAUCCGUGCCGUAGCUAACGCAUUAAGUACU
Molecule: ribosomal RNA, 655 nt
Filed under: Mycolicibacterium sp.
Lineage: Bacteria; Bacillati; Actinomycetota; Actinomycetes; Mycobacteriales; Mycobacteriaceae
Description: bacterial SSU rRNA
Rfam family: Bacterial small subunit ribosomal RNA
Source: RNAcentral